CAAGUGCUAGGCGCGCUCACCUUUCUUCCCUGCCCCUCAGUAUCCAGACUCAGGCUGCGCGGUCAGUUAGGGCGGGAAGCCGAGCAGCAGCACAAGCCCAAGCCGUGGGCAGUCAGAGACCCACCGCCUGGGACCCAGGAGUCUGAGCCGAGCCCAGAGGACGCCCAACCUACCCGAGCCACAGGGCGGCGAAGCAGCAGGUGUCUGGACAGCCAGGCAGCCGAGCGGCUGGACAGCGGGGAGGCCCUGGGGACUGACCGGCCCCGCCCCGGCCCGGCCCCGCCCCGGCCCCGGCCCCCUGCCCUGCUCCCGCCUCCGGCCCCCGGCUCCCGCCUGGCUCCGGCUCCCUCCGGCCGCAGCUGCCCGGCCGGCUCAGCGCACCCCGCCUGCGGUCCCGCCGGCCCUCCCCGUCGCGUUGGUGGCGGCGGCGACCGGAACAGGCCCGCCCGCAGCCUCCGAGGUGCCGUGCCCUACAGCGCUGGAGGGAGUUCAGAUGAACUGAGGAAAAUCCAGGUGUUGUGUUGGGUUCAUGGAUGCAGAAGAUAUACUACUAAAAGAAAAGAAAAGCAUGAUCCUUCCUUCAGACAUGUGAAAAACCAUAUUUCUUCAUAG
RNAcentral lists this long non-coding RNA (612 nucleotides) under Felis catus (domestic cat). RNAcentral's name for it is "lncRNA (ENSFCAG00000051128.1)". Lineage: Eukaryota; Metazoa; Chordata; Mammalia; Carnivora; Felidae. The record is from RNAcentral.